GAUGAACGCUGGCGGCGUGCCUAAUACAUGCAAGUCGAGCGAACGGACGAGAAGCUUGCUUCUCUGAUGUUAGCGGCGGACGGUGAGUAACACGUGGAUAACCUACCUAUAAGACUGGGAUAACUUCGGGAAACCGGAGCUAAUACCGGAUAAUAUUUUGAACCGCAUGGUUCAAAAGUGAAAGACGGUCUUGCUGUCACUUAUAGAUGGAUCCGCGCUGCAUUAGCUAGUUGGUAAGGUAACGGCUUACCAAGGCAACGAUGCAUAGCCGACCUGAGAGGGUGGUCGGCCACACGGGAACUGAGACACGGUCCAGACUCCUACGGGAGGCAGCAGUAGGGAAUCUUCCGCAAUGGGCGAAAGCCUGACGGAGCAACGCCGCGUGAGUGAUGAAGGUCUUCGGAUCGUAAAACUCUGUUAUUAGGGAAGAACAUAUGUGUAAGUAACUGUGCACAUCUUGACGGUACCUAAUCAGAAAGCCACGGCUAACUACGUG
This 496-nucleotide ribosomal RNA is filed under the name uncultured bacterium. RNAcentral's name for it is "partial 16S ribosomal RNA". It matches the Rfam family "Bacterial small subunit ribosomal RNA", at positions 28 to 507 of the family's 1533-position model. The record is from RNAcentral.